This 492-nucleotide ribosomal RNA is filed under the name uncultured bacterium. RNAcentral's name for it is "partial 16S ribosomal RNA". It matches the Rfam family "Bacterial small subunit ribosomal RNA", at positions 29 to 507 of the family's 1533-position model. The record is from RNAcentral.
AGUGAACGCUGGCGGUAGGCCUAACACAUGCAAGUCGAACGGCAGCACAGUAAGAGCUUGCUCUUACGGGUGGCGAGUGGCGGACGGGUGAGGAAUACAUCGGAAUCUACUUUUUCGUGGGGGAUAACGUAGGGAAACUUACGCUAAUACCGCAUACGACCUACGGGUGAAAGCAGGGGAUCUUCGGACCUUGCGCGAUUGAAUGAGCCGAUGUCGGAUUAGCUAGUUGGCGGGGUAAAGGCCCACCAAGGCGACGAUCCGUAGCUGGUCUGAGAGGAUGACCACCCACACGGGAACGGGGCCACGGCCCAGCCUCCUCGGGGGGGCAGCAGGGGGGAUUAUUGGACAAUGGGCGCAGGCCUGCCCCACCAAUACCGGGGGGGGAAAAAAGGCUUUGGGGUUUAAAACCCUUUUUGUUGGAAAAAAAAAGCAGCGGGUUAAUCCCCCGCUGUUCUGACGGUACCCAAAAAAAAAGCCCCGGCUACCUUCGUG